UCCUUUAAAGAUAGCGUAAUAGCUCACUGGUCUAGUGAUUUUGCGCGGAAAAUAUAACGGGGCUAAAAUAAGUACCGAAGUCGUAGACUUAGUUUUACUAAGUGGUAGGAGAGCGUUGUAUUUAGCGUUGAAGAUGUACCGGUAAGGAGCGUUGGAGCAAAUACAAGUGAGCAUGCAGGCAUGAGUAGCGUUAAAUCAGGUGAGAAUCCUGAUCGCCGAAAACCCAAGGUUUCCUACGCGAUGCUCGUCAUCGUAGGGUUAGUCGGGUCCUAAGCAAAGUCCGAAAGGGGUAUGCGAUGGAAAAUUGGUUAAUAUUCCAAUACCAAUUAUUAUGUGCGAUGGAAGGACGCUUAAAGUUAAUGGAGCUAACUGAUGGAAUAGUUAGUCUAAGGUCGUAGGUUGAGUUAUAGGCAAAUCCGUAACUCUUUAUCCAAAAGCUUAAAGGCUUACAAAGCUCUUCGGAGUAGCGUAAGAAUCCAUGAUACUAUAGAGCCAAGAAAAGUUUCUAAGUUUAGUAAUAAUUGCCCGUACCGUAAACCGACACAGGUGGGUGGGAUGAGUAUUCUAAGGCGCGUGGAAGAACUCUCUUUAAGGAACUCUGCAAAAUAGCACCGUAUCUUCGGUAUAAGGUGUGCCUACCAGGGUGCAAGCCCUAGAGGUUACAACAAAGAGUCCCUCCCGACUGUUUACCAAAAACACAGCACUCUGCUAACACGUAAGUGGAUGUAUAGGGUGUGACGCCUGCCCGGUGCUCGAAGGUUAAUUGAUGGAGUUAGCAUUAGCAAAGCUCUUGAUCGAAGCCCGAGUAAACGG
RNAcentral lists this ribosomal RNA (813 nucleotides) under Campylobacter ureolyticus. Its description in RNAcentral is "bacterial LSU rRNA". It matches the Rfam family "Bacterial large subunit ribosomal RNA", at positions 1119 to 1930 of the family's 2925-position model. The record is from RNAcentral. Lineage: Bacteria; Pseudomonadati; Campylobacterota; Epsilonproteobacteria; Campylobacterales; Campylobacteraceae.